This 254-nucleotide ribosomal RNA is filed under the name uncultured bacterium. RNAcentral describes it as "partial 16S ribosomal RNA". It matches the Rfam family "Bacterial small subunit ribosomal RNA", at positions 524 to 776 of the family's 1533-position model. The record is from RNAcentral.
GACGAACCGUGCGAACGUUAUUCGGAAUCACUGGGCUUAAAGCGCGUGUAGGCGGCCCGGCACGUCCGUCGCUGAAAGCCCCCGGCUCAACCGGGGAACGGGCGCGGAUACGACCGGGCUGGAGGGGGGUAGGGGGCGCCGGAACGGCCGGUGGAGCGGUGAAAUGCGUUGAGAUCGGCCGGAACGCCCGUGGCGAAAGCGGGCGCCUGGACCCCGCCUGACGCUGAGACGCGAAAGCCAGGGGAGCGAACGGG